This 253-nucleotide ribosomal RNA is filed under the name uncultured bacterium. Its description in RNAcentral is "partial 16S ribosomal RNA". It matches the Rfam family "Bacterial small subunit ribosomal RNA", at positions 524 to 776 of the family's 1533-position model. The record is from RNAcentral.
UACGGAGGGUGCAAGCGUUAAUCGGAAUUACUGGGCGUAAAGCGCACGCAGGCGGUUUGUUAAGUCAGAUGUGAAAUCCCCGGGCUUAACCUGGGAACUGCAUCUGAAACUGGCUAGCUUGAGUCUUGUAGAGGGGGGUAGAAUUCCAUGUGUAGCGGUGAAAUGCGUAGAGAUGUGGAGGAAUACCGAUGGCGAAGGCGGCCCCCUGGAAGAAGACUGACGCUCAGGUGCGAAAGCGUGGGGAGCAAACAGG